This 501-nucleotide ribosomal RNA is filed under the name uncultured bacterium. RNAcentral's name for it is "partial 16S ribosomal RNA". It matches the Rfam family "Bacterial small subunit ribosomal RNA", at positions 30 to 523 of the family's 1533-position model. The record is from RNAcentral.
AUUGAACGCUGGCGGCAUGCCUUACACAUGCAAGUCGAACGGCAGCACGGGUGCUUGCACCUGGUGGCGAGUGGCGAACGGGUGAGUAAUAUAUCGGAACGUACCUUAUUGUGGGGGAUAACGCAGCGAAAGCUGUGCUAAUACCGCAUAAUCCCUAAGGGGGAAGCGGGGGACCGUAAGGCCUCGCGCAAUUAGAGCGGCCGAUACCUGAUUAGCUAGUUGGUGAGGUAAAGGCUCACCAAGGCAACGAUCAGUAGCUGGUCUGAGAGGACGAUCAGCCACACUGGGACUGAGACACGGCCCAGACUCCUACGGGAGGCAGCAGUGGGGAAUUUUUGGACAAUGGGGGCAACCCUGAUCCAGCAAUGCCGCGUGAGUGAAGAAGGCCUUCGGGUUGUAAAGCUCUUUUGUCAGGGAAGAAACAGCAGCUCUAACACAGUUUGCGAAUGACGGUACCUGAAGAAUAAGCACCGGCUAACUACGUGCCAGCAGCCGCGGUAA